RNAcentral lists this ribosomal RNA (254 nucleotides) under uncultured bacterium. RNAcentral describes it as "partial 16S ribosomal RNA". It matches the Rfam family "Bacterial small subunit ribosomal RNA", at positions 524 to 776 of the family's 1533-position model. The record is from RNAcentral.
UACGGGGGGAGCAAGCGUUGUUCGGAUUUACUGGGCGUAAAGGGCGCGUAGGCGGCCACUGCAAGUCGGUUGUGAAAUCUCCGGGCUUAACCCGGAAAGGUCAACCGAUACUGCAGGGCUAGAGUGUGGAAGGGGCAACUGGAAUUCUCGGUGUAGCGGUGAAAUGCGUAGAUAUCGAGAGGAACACCUGCGGCGAAGGCGGGUUGCUGGGCCGACACUGACGCUGAUGCGCGAAAGCUAGGGGAGCGAACGGG